Monodelphis domestica (gray short-tailed opossum) is the source of this 2380-nucleotide RNA transcript. It is a transcript of the gene named RNA binding motif protein 45, with no coding region annotated. Lineage: Eukaryota; Metazoa; Chordata; Mammalia; Didelphimorphia; Didelphidae. The record is from RefSeq and is a predicted model, not a curated record.
AGCCGCCAGUGGCAACAACGGCCAGGCCGAGCCGCUUUGUCCUUCCGGAAGUGUCCAGCCGAACCCGGCAACAGUGGCGGGUGACUGCCGUCGGUAUCCAGGGUAAGGGGAGAGUAACUGCCACGGCGGGAACCACGGAGAUCGAAGGGGACUGGUGGUGUUCAGGCGGCGUUUGGAGCGCCAUGGACGAAGCCAGCAGUUGUGGUAGCGGGGGCGGCUUCCGCCCCGGGGUGGACAGCCUGGAUGAGCCGCCCAAUAGCCGCAUCUUCCUGGUGAUCAGCAAGUACACACCGGAGUCGGUGCUGAGAGAGCGCUUCUCGCCCUUCGGGGAAAUCCAGGACAUCUGGGUGGUGCGGGAUAAGCACACCAAGGAGUCCAAGGGCAUCGCUUUCGUGAAGUUCGCCCGCAGCUCGCAGGCCUGCCGGGCCAUGGAGGAGAUGCAUGGCCAGUGCCUCAGUCCCAGUGACUCCAAGCCCAUCAAGGUUUUCAUUGCCCAGGCAAGAUCAUCAGGGAGUCACCGAGAUGUUGAAGAUGAAGAACUUACACGAAUUUUUGUUAUGAUACCAAAAUCAUAUACAGAAGAAGAUCUAAGGGAUAAAUUUAAGGUAUAUGGAGAUAUCGAGUAUUGCAGCAUCAUUAAGAAUAAAGCUACUGGAGAAAGUAGAGGUUUGGGCUAUGUAAGAUAUUUAAAACCAUCACAAGCUGCCCAGGCCAUAGAAAACUGUGAUCGAAGUUUUAGAGCAAUCUUGGCAGAACCUAAAAAUAAAGCAUCUGAAUCUUCUGAACAAGAUUAUUAUAGUAGUAUGAGGCAGGAGGCAUUGGGACAUGAACAUAGAGUAAAUAUGUUUCCUUUUGAACAGCCAGAAUUUCCCUCUUUUGAAAAGAAUGAUAUCCGAGGCCAGGAGACCAUCUCCAAACGCUUGUCAGUGGUAUCACGGGUUCCUUUCACACAAGAGCAACUCUACAGCAUUUUUGACAUAGUCCCAGGCUUGGAAUAUUGUGAAGUUCAACGAGAUCCUUACUCUAACUAUGGUCAUGGAGUGGUUCAGUAUUUUAAUGUAGCAUCAGCUAUAUAUGCAAAAUACAAGCUACAUGGAUUUCAGUACCCUCCUGGAAAUCGGAUAGGUGUCUCAUUCCUUGACGAUGGAAGCAAUGGAACAGACCUCCUUAGAAAAAUGGCAACCCAGAUGGUCGCUGCACAGCUUGCAUCAAUGGUGUGGAAUAACCCUGGUCAGCAACAGUUUCUGGCAUCUUUGCAAUUUGGAGGAAGUUCUGGGUCUCAGUUGCCUCAAAUUCAGACAGAUAUUGUGCUUCCAUCAUGUAAAAAGAAAGCCCCGCCUGAAACUGCUGUGAAGGAAAGGCUUUUUAUUGUGUUUAAUCCUCAUCCCUUGCCCUUGGACAUAUUGGAGGAUAUAUUCUGGUGUUUAUUGAGCACUUCCUGUGCUAAUUGCAGUGAUGGGCACUUGGAGGAUACAAAAGAAGCUUGUAAAGCCGUCCCUGCCCUUAAGGAGCUUACAGUCUCACUGGGAAAACCAGACAAAAUCAUGUUAACUCUAUGAGAUAUGCUAAAUUAGAUGCUAUAAGAAGACAAAAAUCAUGCUAACUAUGAGAUAUGCUAAAUUAGAUGCUAAAAGAAGACUGAUUCCUGUGCUUUCAGAACCUUUGAUACACAGAGAAAUUUUCAAGGGAUACUUUUGAGCUCCCUUGGCAAUUGUGUGGGUUUUUAGUAUUUCAUCCUUUCUUUUCUUUUCAGCUGCCAUUAAUAAUGAAUUAUGAUAUAUAAGAAGUUGGUAAGGAGCCAUUCAAAAGAUGAGAUUGCUGGAAUGUCACAAAAGUAUUUUAACAUACAUUUAAAUGGAUUAGAGUUAUAGAUUCCUUUGCAACAGCUUGAUUUCCAUUUCACUUAAAAUAGCUUAUUUUGUUUCAGUCGUUUUGGGAAUCUGAUUGAAGUCUACCUUGUAUCAGGAAAAAAUGUGGGGUAUGCCAAGUAUGCAGAUAGAACAAGUGCUAAUGAUGCCAUAGCUACUUUACAUGGAAAAAUUUUGAAUGGCGUCAGGCUUAAAGUUAUGUUGGCAGAUUCACCCAGAGAAGAAUCUAACAAAAGGCAAAGAACGUAUUGAUCAUAGAGAACAGAUACUAAAUAAUGACAUAACCCUCAGCUGACUGACUGAAAAAUGUGACUGGACGCACUCCCUGUGGACAGUUGACAGCUUUUUUUGUAUAAUUUGCUAGUUUGUGCACAACAUUGUCUUGUUGGGGGGAGUAGGGUUUGCAGACAUGUAUUUUAAAUACCCAUUAAUGCUAAAAUUAAUACAGUAGUUGUUUGAGAAAUGUGUUUUGUUAUGUUUAGAAGAAAUAAAGUUUUCUUUGUUUCAUUAAA